This 664-nucleotide long non-coding RNA is filed under the name Homo sapiens (human). RNAcentral describes it as "HSALNT0296021". The record is from RNAcentral. Lineage: Eukaryota; Metazoa; Chordata; Mammalia; Primates; Hominidae.
CGAAGACCCAGAGAAUCUCCUAGGUUCUCCCUUUGCUGGCGACCUCAUCCACCAUCAAAACCUCCGCCAGGGUCCUGGCUGAGUCAUCAUCCAUCACAGCAGGCUGGUACAACAUCACAGUGGAGGACAAUUCUCUAGGGACCACAGAGGAUAUGAAUGUGACCUGGGUUAGCAAAGGCCUCCCCAAGAAGCUGGAGCAGAGUGGGGCACCAGGAUCAGCCCCCAAUCCCUGGACCUUGGCUGUGAGCCUGCCUGAGCCUGAGCCAGUGCAAUGCCGGUCUUCUGUAUGUGGUCAGAAACUUCAGACACCAGAAAACUGUCACCUUAGAUGUUGGAAGAGUCUGUUGAGCUUAACAAAUUGCCAGCAAGCCCCUACAGUUACAUUUCUGCAAAGCAAUGUUCUUCAGGUGGGGAAAUAAAGAACUUCCACCUCUAGCCAGAGAAGAAGCCCAGACCACAUGCGUAAGAGACUUUGCAUUUUGGCAACUGACUGACUCCACCUGGACUCAUGACUCAACUGGUCUUGUGGCCCCCAACCAAGAGCUGGGCUCAGCACAUGAGGAUGGUUUUCCACACCCCUAUGAUUGCAUCCCCAACCAAUCAGUAGCACUCAUUCCUGAGUCCCGUACCCACCAAACUAUCCUUGAAAAACCUUAACCUCCAA